Molecule: ribosomal RNA, 220 nt
Filed under: uncultured bacterium
Lineage: Bacteria
Description: partial 16S ribosomal RNA
Rfam family: Bacterial small subunit ribosomal RNA
Source: RNAcentral
UACGUAGGGUGCAAGCGUUUGUCCGGAAUUAUUGGGCGUAAAGAGCUCGUAGGCGGUCUGUCGCGUCUGCUGUGAAAACUCGGGGCUUAACCCCGGGCCUGCAGUGGGUACGGGCAGACUAGAGUGCGGUAGGGGAGACUGGAAUUCCGUGGUGUAGCGGUGAAAUGCGCAGAUAUCAGGAGGAACACCGGUGGCGAAGGCGGGUCUCUGGGCCGUAACU